GAUGGCGACCGGCGCACGGGUGAGUAACGCGUAUCCAACCUACCCUUGUCCAUCGGAUAACCCGUCGAAAGGCGGCCUAACACGAUAUGCGGUUCUCAGCAGGCAUCUAACGAGAACGAAAUGUGAAGGAGAAGGAUGGGGAUGCGUCUGAUUAGCUUGUUGGCGGGGUAACGGCCCACCAAGGCGACGAUCAGUAGGGGUUCUGAGAGGAAGGUCCCCCACAUUGGAACUGAGACACGGUCCAAACUCCUACGGGAGGCAGCAGUGAGGAAUAUUGGUCAAUGGACGAGAGUCUGAACCAGCCAAGUAGCGUGCAGGAAGACGGCCCUAUGGGUUGUAAACUGCUUUUAUAGGGGGAUAAAGUGUGCCACGUGUGGCAUAUUGCAGGUACCCUAUGAAUAAGGACCGGCUAAUUCCGUGCCAGCAGCCGCGGUAAUACGGAAGGUCCAGGCGUUAUCCGGAUUUAUUGGGUUUAAAGGGAGCGUAGGCCGUUUGGUAAGCGUGUUGUGAAAUGUCGGGGCUCAACCUGGGCAUUGCAGCGCGAACUGCCAGACUUGAGUGCGCAGGAAGUAGGCGGAAUUCGUCGUGUAGCGGUGAAAUGCUUAGAUAUGACGAAGAACUCCGAUUGCGAAGGCAGCCUGCUGUAGCGCAACUGACGCUGAAGCUCGAAAGCGUGGGUAUCGAACAGGAUUAGAUACCCUGGUAGUCCACGCGGUAAACGAUGGAUGCUCGCUGUUUGCGUCUGACGUAAGCGGCCAAGCGAAAGCGUUAAGCAUCCCACCUGGGGAGUACGCCGGCAACGGUGAAACUCAAAGGAAUUGACGGGGGCCCGCACAA
Molecule: ribosomal RNA, 837 nt
Filed under: uncultured bacterium
Lineage: Bacteria
Description: bacterial SSU rRNA
Rfam family: Bacterial small subunit ribosomal RNA
Source: RNAcentral